Molecule: non-coding RNA, 1435 nt
Organism: Cricetulus griseus (Chinese hamster)
Lineage: Eukaryota; Metazoa; Chordata; Mammalia; Rodentia; Cricetidae
Source: RefSeq, a predicted model, not a curated record
GCCAGUCUGGUCCACAAAGCAAGUUCCAGGUCAGCCGGACCCUUCUGAAAAAUAAAGGCAGCCACUUCUGAGACACCUCAGGAUCCAGUCCCUUCUUGCCACCUGCCGUCGACAGGCGCCCCUCCAUCUGCAGCCGCCUCAGGAGCUGCUUCUCUGGUGCACAAGUGGUCCAGCUGCAUUCUCAUUACUUACAUGCAAGCCAGAGCUCGGGGGUUCAGCCGUCUAUUCUCAGGAAGAAAUGAGGCCGAUGCUCUCUCUAGCCAGUGCACAUAUUACUGACCUGUGGCACUUCCAACCCUAGGAGUCCAAGAUCUGCCCUCCCCAUAAAUGCACCCAGGCAUCCUGACUACUGUGUCAUCACUCAGUACAAAACCACCUCAGGGAGUGAGAAACCGCUGUCCCCAGCUUCUCUAAUCCUUCCAGUUAUGCAAGGCCUCUGCUGAAGACCUGGCUCUCAAGUUGGCAUGGAAUUUCACAGAGCACAGAGGAGCAGAAAGAGAAGAAAUCUACAAAUAACUGGCAAAGAAUAAAACCUCUCUUCUGAAGAGAAACAAAGACUACGGAGGAGCAGUAUGAAUAAGAAGGCGAAAUGACCAAGGACUGAAUGGAAGACGAUUCAAUCUCUCUAAUGCUCAGAGAAAUGCAAAUUGAAAUCAAUAUUAUAUUUCAUUUAUUAGAUUGAUGUUGAUGACAACUAAGAAUUUUAGCAUUCCGUGUUGGAGAAAUUCUGAAAGGACCGACGCUUAUGAACUGCUUAUAAGAAUGUGUGUCAAAAACAAAACAAACAAAAACAAAAAAACGGGUGUGGUCAGCUGGAGAUAGGGGUGUGUGCGGAGCCCCAGACUGCAGCAGAAGAAAGGUGGGAAUAUCAGCAAGACCCUGAGUUAGGAAGAAGGAGGAGGAGGAGGAGGAUAAGGACAAGGAGAGGAAAGAGAGAGAAAAGGGAGUUAACGUGUCUCUGAUGGGCUAAGCUGCAGGUGGCUAUGCUUCAGGAUCAGAGGACACUUUACCUCAGCAAAGACCAUGGGAAGUUCACACCCCUUAAGGACAGGACCUGAGUCCUAUGAAAGUAUGAAUGAACUUAGAGGCAAAGUCCCCCUCCCCCACCAUCCUUGCCAACACCUCCCGAUAGGAGCCAAGACCUUGACUUCAUCCGGCCUUUUAGAAUACUAAGCAAGCAAGACAGUUGAUUUAUACCACAUCCAGAAUUCUGACUACAGAAUUGUGAGGCAGGUAGACAUUGUCCUAAGCACUGAGUCCAUGCUACGUUGCAACAAUGGGGAUAGGAAACUCAUAUAUGCCCAGAAGACUGAGGUACCAGGGAUAUCUCAGCCAUUAGGAGCACUUGCUGCUCUUGUGUAGGACACGGGUUUGAUUCUCAGCAUCCCCAUGGCAGUUCACAACUACCUGUAACUCCAGCUCCAGGAGAUCCCAU